This 184-nucleotide small nuclear RNA is filed under the name Salarias fasciatus (jewelled blenny). Its description in RNAcentral is "U2 spliceosomal RNA (ENSSFAG00005009359.1)". It matches the Rfam family "U2 spliceosomal RNA". Rfam says of the family: U2 is a small nuclear RNA (snRNA) component of the spliceosome (involved in pre-mRNA splicing). Complementary binding between U2 snRNA (in an area lying towards the 5' end but 3' to hairpin I) and the branchpoint sequence (BPS) of the intron results the bulging out of an unpaired adenosine, on the BPS, which initiates a nucleophilic attack at the intronic 5' splice site, thus starting the first of two transesterification reactions that mediate splicing. The record is from Rfam by way of RNAcentral. Lineage: Eukaryota; Metazoa; Chordata; Actinopteri; Blenniiformes; Blenniidae.
AUAAAAUCUUGUUAAAAAGAAAAAAAAAAAAUCUGUUCUUAUCAGUUUAAUAUCUGAUACGUCCCCUAUCUGGGGACUAUAUAUUAAAUUGGUUUUUGGAACAGGGAGAUGGAAUAGGGGCUUGCUCCGUCCACUCCACGCAUCGACCUGGUAUUGCAGUACUUCCGGGAGCGGUGCACCCCCC